GGAAUCUGAAAGGAUGAAGAGCUCUAAAUUCGAGCCAAUAGCCGGGAAACAUGGUGGGCGGCUGUGCUGAGUUCUAGAUUGGAUCUUUUUUGUAAGAUGCUCUACACUCUACACGCAGUCCAUGAGCUACAAGAAUCGCAACACCACGGCGAACCUGGUGUAAAUGGCCGAAUUAUUGGCAUGUUUCUGAGCAACGAACCACCCAAAGGGGACAUUGUCGUAUGGCCGUGACUAGCAUCGAAGAAAAGCUACGUCCAGCACGGAAGGAGCGGUUGGUAACGUGCGCAUGGUCGACCAUAAACUCCAAGACGUAUUAUAAACGGCACUCGAACGGACGUCGCGAUUCAUCUUCUUGUCUUUGUGAAAAGACAACAAUGCGGGUCUCUGUGCGAAACUGAC
Long non-coding RNA from Osmia bicornis bicornis, 399 nucleotides. RefSeq lists it as uncharacterized. The transcript has 4 exons. The record is from RefSeq and is a predicted model, not a curated record. NCBI's taxonomy places the organism in Eukaryota, Metazoa, Arthropoda, Insecta, Hymenoptera, Megachilidae.